Molecule: ribosomal RNA, 253 nt
Filed under: uncultured bacterium
Lineage: Bacteria
Description: partial 16S ribosomal RNA
Rfam family: Bacterial small subunit ribosomal RNA
Source: RNAcentral
UACAGAGGUCUCAAGCGUUGUUCGGAUUCAUUGGGCGUAAAGGGUGCGUAGGCGGCGCGGUAAGUCGGGUGUGAAAUCUCGGAGCUUAACUUCGAAACUGCAUUCGAUACUGCCGUGCUUGAGGACUGGAGAGGAGACUGGAAUUUACGGUGUAGCGGUGAAAUGCGUAGAUAUCGUAAGGAAGACCAGUGGCGAAGGCGGGUCUCUGGACAGGUCCUGACGCUGAGGCACGAAGGCCAGGGGAGCAAACGGG